UACGUAGGGCGCAAGCGUUGUCCGGAAUUAUUGGGCGUAAAGAGCUCGUAGGCGGCUUGUCACGUCGGAUGUGAAAGCCCGGGGCUUAACCCCGGGUCUGCAUUCGAUACGGGCUAGCUAGAGUGUGGUAGGGGAGAUCGGAAUUCCUGGUGUAGCGGUGAAAUGCGCAGAUAUCAGGAGGAACACCAGUGGCGAAGGCGGAUCUCUGGGCCAUUACUGACGCUGAGGAGCGAAAGCGUGGGGAGCGAACAGG
RNAcentral lists this ribosomal RNA (253 nucleotides) under uncultured bacterium. RNAcentral describes it as "partial 16S ribosomal RNA". It matches the Rfam family "Bacterial small subunit ribosomal RNA", at positions 524 to 776 of the family's 1533-position model. The record is from RNAcentral.